GAUGAACGCUGGCGGCGUGCCUAAUACAUGCAAGUCGAGCGAACAGACGAGAGUUCUUGCACUCUCUGACGUUAGCGGCGGACGGGUGAGUAACACGUGGGUAACCUACCUAUAAGACUGGGAUAACUUCGGGAAACCGGAGCUAAUACCGGAUAAUAUUUAGCUUCGCAUGAAGCAAUAGUGAAAGACGGUUCUGCUGUCACUUAUAGAUGGACCCGCGGUGUAUUAGCUAGUUGGUGAGGUAACGGCUCACCAAGGCAACGAUACAUAGCCGACCUGAGAGGGUGAUCGGCCACACUGGGACUGAGACACGGCCCAGACUCCUACGGGAGGCAGCAGUAGGGAAUCUGCCGCAAUGGACGAAAGUCUGACGGAGCAAUGCCGCGUGAGUGAAGAAGGUUUUAGGAUCGUAAAACUCUGUUGUAAGGGAAGAACAAGUACGUUAGUAACUGAACGUACCUUGACGGUACCUUAACAGAAAGCCACGGCUAACUACGUG
RNAcentral lists this ribosomal RNA (499 nucleotides) under uncultured bacterium. Its description in RNAcentral is "partial 16S ribosomal RNA". It matches the Rfam family "Bacterial small subunit ribosomal RNA", at positions 28 to 507 of the family's 1533-position model. The record is from RNAcentral.